UACGAAGGGGGCUAGCGUUGCUCGGAAUUACUGGGCGUAAAGGGUGCGUAGGCGGGUCUUUAAGUCAGAGGUGAAAUCCUGGAGCUCAACUCCAGAACUGCCUUUGAUACUGAGGAUCUUGAGUUCGGGAGAGGUGAGUGGAACUGCGAGUGUAGAGGUGAAAUUCGUAGAUAUUCGCAAGAACACCAGUGGCGAAGGCGGCUCACUGGCUCGAUACUGACGCUGAGGUGCGAAAGCGUGGGGAGCAAACAGG
Molecule: ribosomal RNA, 253 nt
Filed under: uncultured bacterium
Lineage: Bacteria
Description: partial 16S ribosomal RNA
Rfam family: Bacterial small subunit ribosomal RNA
Source: RNAcentral